UACGGAGGGUGCAAGCGUUAUCCGGAAUUACUGGGUUUAAAGGGUGCGUAGGCGGUUAUAUAAGUCAGUGGUGAAAAGUCUGGGCUCAACCGAGGCCUUGCCAUUGAAACUGUAUAACUUGAAAUAAGUUGAGGUGGGCGGAAUGUGACAUGUAGCGGUGAAAUGCAUAGAUAUGUCAUAGAACACCAAUUGCGAAGGCAGCUCACUAGACUUCAUUUGACGCUGAGGCACGAAAGCGUGGGUAGCGAACAGG
This 253-nucleotide ribosomal RNA is filed under the name uncultured bacterium. RNAcentral describes it as "partial 16S ribosomal RNA". It matches the Rfam family "Bacterial small subunit ribosomal RNA", at positions 524 to 776 of the family's 1533-position model. The record is from RNAcentral.